This 635-nucleotide ribosomal RNA is filed under the name uncultured bacterium. Its description in RNAcentral is "bacterial SSU rRNA". The stretch from base 1 to 533 matches the Rfam family "Bacterial small subunit ribosomal RNA", at positions 338 to 873 of the family's 1533-position model. The record is from RNAcentral.
CCUACGGGAGGCAGCAGUAGGGAAUUUUCCACAAUGGGCGAAAGCCUGAUGGAGCAAUACCGCGUGCAGGAUGAAGGCCUUCGGGUCGUAAACUGCUUUUAUGUGCGAAGAAUUUGACGGUAACACAUGAAUAAGGAUCGGCUAACUACGUGCCAGCAGCCGCGGUCAUACGUAGGAUCCAAGCGUUAUCCGGAAUUACUGGGCGUAAAGAGUUGCGUAGGUGGCAUUGUAAGUGGAGCGUGAAAGCGUGCGGCUCAACCGCAUUAUUGCGUUCCAAACUGUGAAGCUUGAGUAUGGGAGAGGUAGAUGGAAUUUCUAGUGUAGGAGUGAAAUCCGUAGAUAUUAGAAGGAACACCGAUGGCGUAGGCAGUCUACUGGCCCAUUACUGACACUAAGGCACGAAAGCGUGGGGAGCAAACGGGAUUAGAUACCCCGGUAGUCCACGCUGUAAACUAUGGAUGCUAGCUGUGACACACACUACGUACCUCGUGUCGUAGUACGUAACGUAACGUACGUAACGUACGACGUCCGCCGUCGGGAGGUACGGUCGGCGAAGUAAGUUAAAACGUUAAAGUUAAGUUAAGUUAGUUACGGUUACGUGAGACGUUGCCGACGGACGACGACGAGGGAGGAGG